RNAcentral lists this unclassified non-coding RNA (275 nucleotides) under Hevea brasiliensis (rubber tree). Lineage: Eukaryota; Viridiplantae; Streptophyta; Magnoliopsida; Malpighiales; Euphorbiaceae. The record is from RNAcentral.
GAAAAAUACACAAGUAACCUGAAAUACUGACUUACUGAUAAUAAUAAGGAUAAAUUGGUAGUAAAUUCAAUCUUUAAAAAGAUGAAAUUGUAGAAGAAAAAGGAGUAGCAGAAACUGGUCUUGGGAAAAGGAAUGUUUAAAAAGAAAAGAGGGGAACAGAAAGUAAGGGGAAAAGCUAUUGUAAAGCCAGUUAACGAGUGCAGACCUCCUGUUAAAAGGGGUCUUGUGGAGAAUUGCACUCUAGGAGUUGUAGACACAAAUAUAUGGUGUUUCUU